GUGGCGGUUGACGGCAACGUUAGGAAGUCCGGAGACGUCGGCGGGGGCCUCGGGAAGAGUUACUCUUUUCGUGUUUAACAGCCUGGCCCACCCUGGAAACGACUCAGUCGGAGGUAGGGUCCAGCGGCUGGAAGAGCACCGCACGUCGCGUGGUGUCCGGUGCGCCCCCGGCGGCCCUUGAAAAUCUGGAGGACCGAGUGCCGUCCAC
Molecule: non-coding RNA, 208 nt
Filed under: Nicotiana attenuata
Lineage: Eukaryota; Viridiplantae; Streptophyta; Magnoliopsida; Solanales; Solanaceae
Description: rRNA LSU_rRNA_eukarya
Rfam family: Eukaryotic large subunit ribosomal RNA
Source: Rfam by way of RNAcentral